GUGUGUUUAAUCACUACAAAUGAAAUGAUACAGAUGAUACAGGUAAGAUUAGCAUGGCCCAUGAAAAGGAUGGCAUGAAAAUUAGAGAAACAUUCCAUGUUUCA
Molecule: small nuclear RNA, 104 nt
Organism: Sorex araneus (European shrew)
Lineage: Eukaryota; Metazoa; Chordata; Mammalia; Eulipotyphla; Soricidae
Source: RefSeq, a predicted model, not a curated record